GGGCCUGUGGUCUAACGGCUAUGACAUCACCUUCGCAAGGUGGGAACUUCGGGUUCGAAUCCCGACAGGUCCA
Molecule: transfer RNA, 73 nt
Filed under: Candidatus Woesearchaeota archaeon
Lineage: Archaea; Nanobdellati; Candidatus Woesearchaeota
Description: tRNA-Ala
Rfam family: tRNA
About the family: Transfer RNA (tRNA) molecules are approximately 80 nucleotides in length. Their secondary structure includes four short double-helical elements and three loops (D, anti-codon, and T loops). Further hydrogen bonds mediate the characteristic L-shaped molecular structure. tRNAs have two regions of fundamental functional importance: the anti-codon, which is responsible for specific mRNA codon recognition, and the 3' end, to which the tRNAs corresponding amino acid is attached (by aminoacyl-tRNA synthetases). tRNAs cope with the degeneracy of the genetic code in two manners: having more than one tRNA (with a specific anti-codon) for a particular amino acid; and 'wobble' base-pairing, i.e. permitting non-standard base-pairing at the 3rd anti-codon position.
Source: RNAcentral